UGAUUUGUCAACGCCGAUACCGAUUAUUGGAGGACCAACAUCAGGGUAGAGGUCGACCGAUUAUGUAGAGGUGUUAGUAGUUCUCUGAAGGGAAGCCAUCGGGGUAGAGGUAGACCGAUUAUGUAGAGGUGUUAGUAGUUCUCUGAAGGGAAGCCAUCGGGGUAGAGGUCGACCGAUUAUGAUUUGUCAACGCCGAUACCGAUUAUUGGAGGACCAA
Molecule: long non-coding RNA, 217 nt
Organism: Oncorhynchus kisutch (coho salmon)
Lineage: Eukaryota; Metazoa; Chordata; Actinopteri; Salmoniformes; Salmonidae
Exons: 2
Source: RefSeq, a predicted model, not a curated record